GGCUAAUUGAAGUUUUAGAGCAUGAUAAAUUUCGGAUCAAGUUGUUUCCUCCUCCUGUUGGUGAAGGUUUAUCUUAUGAGGCUUCCUGUGCAGACUUGCGACCUUCCUUGGAUUGGUCUCCAGAGCAUGGUUGGACAGUGCCUAUAUCUGGGAAUGAAGAUUGUCACUCUUGUGCUCGGUUAGUCAAACCUUUGAAUCAAGGGGGCUUUGUGGACUUGACAGCUCAUACAGUCGAUGAAGGGAGAAACAAGCAUAAUACUGAAUUUUCUUCUCAUACUUCAGCUAGUUGUAUACCACCUCCAGAAAGGUCAGAGGAUGCUUCAGCUGAAGGUACAAGAGAUACUGUUGGGAAAGACUGUCACGAUGAUAAUAGUCCAUCAAAAAAGUUGAGAACUGAUAGCAGCAUUUCUUUGAAUUCUAUGUGUUCUGAUACUAUAGAAGCAGCAAUUUUGGACUUAGAGGAGUUGGUGAACCGGGUUAAAUGGAUCAAGAAUAUCUUAGAGUUUGGGAUGCCUUUUCCAAAUUCUGUGCAGCCUUCUUGGAAAUUUCUGGAGCAC
Molecule: unclassified non-coding RNA, 557 nt
Filed under: Hevea brasiliensis (rubber tree)
Lineage: Eukaryota; Viridiplantae; Streptophyta; Magnoliopsida; Malpighiales; Euphorbiaceae
Source: RNAcentral